CCCUUAGAUGUCCUGGGCCGCACGCGCAUUACACUGAUGCAUUCAACGAGCUUAUAACCUUGGCCGAGAGGCCUGGGCAAUCUUGUUAACGUGCAUCGUGAUAGGGAUAGAUUAUUGAAAUUAUUAAUCUUGAACGAGGAAUUCCUAGUAAACGCAGAUCAUCAAUCUGCAUUGAUUACGUCCCUGCCCUUUGUACACACCGCCCGUCGCACCUACCGAUUGGAUGGUCCGGUGAAGCCUCGGGAUUGUGGUUCUUGCCGCUUUAUUGUGGCGUGACCGCGAGAACUUGUCUAAACCUUAUCAUCUAGAGGAAGGUGAAGUCGUAACA
Molecule: ribosomal RNA, 328 nt
Filed under: uncultured eukaryote
Lineage: Eukaryota
Description: partial 18S ribosomal RNA
Rfam family: Eukaryotic small subunit ribosomal RNA
Source: RNAcentral